RNAcentral lists this ribosomal RNA (400 nucleotides) under uncultured bacterium. Its description in RNAcentral is "bacterial SSU rRNA". It matches the Rfam family "Bacterial small subunit ribosomal RNA", at positions 355 to 747 of the family's 1533-position model. The record is from RNAcentral.
UGGGGAAUAUUGGACAAUGGGCGCAAGCCUGAUCCAGCAAUGCCGCGUGUGUGAAGAAGGCCUGCGGGUUGUAAAGCACUUUAAGCAGGAAAGAAGGCUUCGGAGCUAAUAUCUUCGAAGAUUGACGUUACCUGCAGAAUAAGCACCGGCUAACUCCGUGCCAGCAGCCGCGGUAAUACGGAGGGUGCGAGCGUUAAUCGGAAUUACUGGGCGUAAAGCGCGCGUAGGCGGUUUGCUAAGUCCGCUGUGAAAGCCCUGGGCUUAACCUGGGAACUGCAGUGGAUACUGGCAGGCUAGAGUAUGGUAGAGGAGAGUGGAAUUUCCGGUGUAGCAGUGAAAUGCGUAGAGAUCGGAAGGAACACCAGUGGCGAAGGCGGCUCUCUGGACCAAUACUGACGCU